GAUAAGAACGUAGCGAAAUGCGAUAAGUAAUGUGAAUUGCAGAAUUCAGUGAAUCAUCGAAUCUUUGAACGCACAUUGCGCCCGUCAGUAUUCUGGCGGGCAUGCCUGUUCGAGCGUCAUUACGCCCCUCAAGUCCCCUGUGGACUUGGUGUUGGGGAUCGGCGAGGCUGGUUUUCCAGCACAGCCGUCCCUUAAAUUAAUUGGCGGUCUCGCCGUGGCCCUCCUCUGCGCAGUAGUAAAACACUCGCAACAGGAGCCCGGCGCGGUCCACUGCCGUAAAACCCCCCAACUUUUUAUAGUUGACCUCGAAUCAGGUAGGACUACCCGCUGAACUUAAGCAUAUCAAUAAGCGGAGGA
RNAcentral lists this unclassified non-coding RNA (357 nucleotides) under soil metagenome. RNAcentral describes it as "partial contains 5.8S ribosomal RNA, internal transcribed spacer 2, and large subunit ribosomal RNA". The stretch from base 4 to 119 matches the Rfam family "5.8S ribosomal RNA", at positions 39 to 154 of the family's 154-position model. The record is from RNAcentral.